RNAcentral lists this small RNA (481 nucleotides) under Pan troglodytes (chimpanzee). RNAcentral describes it as "processed transcript". Lineage: Eukaryota; Metazoa; Chordata; Mammalia; Primates; Hominidae. The record is from RNAcentral.
GCAACACAGACCCUUUGCUGCUGCUGUUGCUGCUGCUGCUGCUGUUGCUGCUGCUGCUACUGCUGCUGCUGCUACUGCUGCUGCUUGGCCCUGGCUGGAGACAUCUCACUACACCCAGGAGCAGCCACUUCCCCAGCUCUCCUCCUCCUCCUUCGCCUCCUCCUCCUCCACUCCCCCCCUUUAUUACCCUUUGUGUCAUCCUCCACAGCUCCAGGGAAGGCACUCAAAAGUGGGGGGCAGGAAAGCCCACAUAUGACAGUGGACAUAGAGGACAACGCAGAUAUAGAACAUUUCUUUUAUCACAAUGUACAUUGAAGAUGUCAGUUUCUACAUGUGGGAAGUAGACAUUGAAGGCUUUAUGGUUUACAGACAAGAUCUUUAGAAGUUAAGCACUAAAGGACCAAGGAAAUAAAUACCAGAAAUCAAGAAGAGCACAGACUAUUUUCCUUCAUCAAUCCAUAGAACCCUAAUGCUUCUUUAG